This 253-nucleotide ribosomal RNA is filed under the name uncultured bacterium. Its description in RNAcentral is "partial 16S ribosomal RNA". It matches the Rfam family "Bacterial small subunit ribosomal RNA", at positions 524 to 776 of the family's 1533-position model. The record is from RNAcentral.
UACGGAGGAUCCGAGCGUUAUCCGGAUUUAUUGGGUUUAAAGGGUGCGUAGGCGGUUUGAUAAGUUAGAGGUGAAAUGUCGGGGCUCAACCCCGAAACUGCCUCUAAUACUGUUGGACUAGAGAAUAGUUGCGGUAGGCGGAAUGUAUGGUGUAGCGGUGAAAUGCUUAGAGAUCAUACAGAACACCGGCGGCGAAGGCGGCUUACUGGACUGUAACUGACGUUGAGGCUCGAAAGCGUGGGGAGCAAACAGG